AGUGAGGCCGGACGGUAUGCCCGGUCUCCCGGACGAGCGCGUCGUACCCGGUCCGACAAGACGGCGCAGC
This 70-nucleotide non-coding RNA is filed under the name Streptacidiphilus jiangxiensis. The record is from RNAcentral. Lineage: Bacteria; Bacillati; Actinomycetota; Actinomycetes; Kitasatosporales; Streptomycetaceae.